Molecule: ribosomal RNA, 497 nt
Filed under: Burkholderia sp. EPML221
Lineage: Bacteria; Pseudomonadati; Pseudomonadota; Betaproteobacteria; Burkholderiales; Burkholderiaceae
Description: bacterial SSU rRNA
Rfam family: Bacterial small subunit ribosomal RNA
Source: RNAcentral
AUUGUUGAUCCUGGCUCAGAUUGAACGCUGGCGGCAUGCCUUACACAUGCAAGUCGAACGGCAGCACGGGGGCAAUCCCUGGUGGCGAGUGGCGAACGGGUGAGUAAUACAUCGGAACGUGUCCUGUAGUGGGGGAUAGCCCGGCGAAAGCCGGAUUAAUACCGCAUACGCUCUGUGGAGGAAAGGGGGGGAUCUUAGGACCUCUCGCUACAGGGGCGGCCGAUGGCAGAUUAGCUAGUUGGUGGGGUAAAGGCCUACCAAGGCGACGAUCUGUAGCUGGUCUGAGAGGACGACCAGCCACACUGGGACUGAGACACGGCCCAGACUCCUACGGGAGGCAGCAGUGGGGAAUUUUGGACAAUGGGGGCAACCCUGAUCCAGCAAUGCCGCGUGUGUGAAGAAGGCCUUCGGGUUGUAAAGCACUUUUGUCCGGAAAGAAAUCUUCUGCCCUAAUACGGCGGGAGGAUGACGGUACCGGAAGAAUAAGCACCGGGCUA